AUGAGUGUACCCACUCAGCUCCUGGCAUUGCUGCUGCUGUGGCUUAUGGAUGCCAGAUGUGACAUUCAAAUGACUCAGUCUCCAGCAUCCCUGUCUGCAUCUGUGGGAGAAACUGUCACCAUCACAUGUGAGGCAAGUGAGGACAUUUACAGUGAUUUAAACUGGUAUCAGCAGAAACCAGGGAAAUCUCCUCAGCUCCUGAUCUAUACUGCAAACAACUUGGAAGAUGGUGUCCCAUCGAGGUUCAGUGGCAGUGGAUCUGGGACACAGUAUUCUAUGAAGAUCAACAGCAUGGAGCCUGAAGAUUCUGCAACUUAUUACUGUGGACACCACCUGGUGUCCCCCCUUAGCUUUGGUGACAGCGGAUCAGAGGCAGACAUAUUUCACCUUGCCAUCAUCAGUCUCUAA
Non-coding RNA from Mus pahari (shrew mouse), 408 nucleotides. NCBI's taxonomy places the organism in Eukaryota, Metazoa, Chordata, Mammalia, Rodentia, Muridae. The record is from the annotation of a RefSeq genome assembly.